AACGAACGCUGGCGGCGUGCCUAACACAUGCAAGUUGAGCGGUAAGGCCCCUUCGGGGGUACACGAGCAGCGAACGGGUGAGUAUCGCGUGGGUAAUCUACCUCGAGGUGGGGGAUAGCCCCGGGAAACCGGGGGUAAUACCGCAUGAGUCCUCGAUGACACAAGUCGACGAGGGGAAAGGCGGGGAUCCUUCGGGACCUGUCGCCUUGGGAUGAGCCCGCGUCCGAUUAGCUUGUUGGUGGGGUAAUGGCCCACCAAGGCAACGAUCGGUAGCCGGCCUGAGAGGGUGAACGGCCACAUUGGGACUGAGACACGGCCCAGACUCCUACGGGAGGCAGCAGUGGGGAAUUUUGGGCAAUGGGGGAAACCCUGACCCAGCGACGCCGCGUGGAGGAUGACGGCCCUCGGGUUGUAAACUCCUGUCAGGUGGGAAGAAAAGCCUGUCGGUUAAUACCCGACAGGAAUUGACGGUACCACCAAAGGAAGCCCCGGCUAACUCCGUG
This 503-nucleotide ribosomal RNA is filed under the name uncultured bacterium. RNAcentral describes it as "bacterial SSU rRNA". It matches the Rfam family "Bacterial small subunit ribosomal RNA", at positions 28 to 507 of the family's 1533-position model. The record is from RNAcentral.